RNAcentral lists this ribosomal RNA (584 nucleotides) under Vibrio sp. AF3-15. RNAcentral's name for it is "bacterial SSU rRNA". It matches the Rfam family "Bacterial small subunit ribosomal RNA", at positions 45 to 605 of the family's 1533-position model. Lineage: Bacteria; Pseudomonadati; Pseudomonadota; Gammaproteobacteria; Vibrionales; Vibrionaceae. The record is from RNAcentral.
GGCCUAACACAUGCAAGUCGAGCGGAAACGACUUAACUGAACCUUCGGGGAACGUUAAGGGCGUCRAGCGGCGGACGGGUGAGUAAUGCCUGGGAAAUUGCCCUGAUGUGGGGGAUAACCAUUGGAAACGAUGGCUAAUACCGCAUAAUAGCUUCGGCUCAAAGAGGGGGACCUUCGGGCCUCUCGCGUCAGGAUAUGCCCAGGUGGGAUUAGCUAGUUGGUGAGGUAAGGGCUCACCAAGGCAACGAUCCCUAGCUGGUCUGAGAGGAUGAUCAGCCACACUGGAACUGAGACACGGUCCAGACUCCUACGGGAGGCAGCAGUGGGGAAUAUUGCACAAUGGGCGCAAGCCUGAUGCAGCCAUGCCGCGUGUAUGAAGAAGGCCUUCGGGUUGUAAAGUACUUUCAGCAAGUGAGGAAGGUUCAUGCGUUAAUAGCGUAUGGAUUUGACCGUUAGCUGCAGAAGAAGCACCGGCUAACUCCGUGCCAGCAGCCCGCGGUAAUACGGAGGGUGCGAGCGUUAAUCGGAAUUACUGGGCGUAAAGCGCAUGCAGGUGGUUUGUUAAGUCAGAUGUGAAAAGCCCG